GUCAGAGUAGAUGAAUUUUGAGUUUAACAUACUUUCAUCAUUUGAUGAUGAAAAAUUACUAGUAAUUUUUUGGCAGAUUAAGCAUAACAUCAUGGUCUUUUUUUCUCAUUUCCAAAUGCUUAUAAUCAAAUAUUCUGCUAUGAAUAUAAAAUUCAAAAUUUAAUUGCCUCUGCACUGGCCGUAAAAUGUGGAACUUGAGAAUGCAAAUUCAUUCAGCGAAUAAAGGAUUCAAUUAAAGAGCCAUGUCAGGUUGCAUACAGACACAGAUAUAUGAGCACUGUGCAUUUGCAUGGUAUUGUACUGAUCUAAUGAUAAGAAACAUCUAUUGAUACGAGCUUCCAUUUUUUUUCUAGUGAUAGAAGUAACAAUGUAAUAAAUCAUAUAAUUUCCAAGAGCUAUACUGAAAUACAUUUAAUGUUAUACAAAAUCGUAAGAAAUUCAUAUGCUCUGUGAAAAAAUGAAUUUUGCAACUGUGUCAAUUGAUGGUCCUAACUUUUCUCCUCUGCCAAAUAAAUCAAUGUGCAGCUGCACCCUAUUCCCAGACUAUCUCAUAUAUUGAUAUAAUGUUCUCAACACUCAGCAGGAAAAUGAUGCACCAUUCCAGAAGAUCUGACCGUCUGUUUUGAAUUACCUCUUGAAGGAAAUGAAUGUUAUGCUCCACAAAUUUUAAUUUGAAAUCCAAAUUCCCAAAGCGUUGAGUGACCUCAUACUCCUCCCUAAGGUACUCAUAUAUUUGAGCAUAUUUUGCAUCUCUCCAAGCAAUUUCAGAUCUCUCAAAAAGGCCAACUUUGAGAAUUACAUCAGCUAGAUUUGAAUUUGCCUUUCCAACUAGUUGAAGGAGCUUCUUCCUAUCCAUAGUGAAAGUUCCAGUUUUUUCCAUUGCACGAUUUAUGCAGGCAAACUCUUCGACCAUUCCAUCAACCUGUGACACGAAAUAGUCCAGAGCAAUGCUUUGUCCAAGUACACUUCCAAUAAUGCGAAUACUGUCAGUAUCUAAAGUUUUAAGAACAAUGUAGUCUGGACCUCCCUGCAUAUCCUCAACUAGAAAGGGUUUCUCUUUUAUGGCAUAAUCUAACACAAGGAGACAUCAACAGCCAAGCAGAAAGUCAUACUUCUAAAGAGCUAUGCAAAAGUAUUGUAGUCAGAAUGCAAACAAUUAUGGAACCAAAUCAGCAAAUCCAGAAUAUAAAAGUCAACAGAUAAAGCGUGGGUUUGAAGAUCAUUUUAGAAUACGAUGAAAGGAAAAAAGGGAAAUAGAAAAGCAAAUACAUAUUAUAUUUAGACAUCAAUACAAAUGUGCUAACUUUUCCACUUCAAAGGUCAUAAAAUAUAAAAUGUUUUCAAAGAAAAUUACCAUCUUUCCUCAUCUCUGGAAGUAAUCCAGAAGCAUGUCUUCUUACUAUCUCUAGAUAACUUUCAACUUCAUGGUCCUCAAUGUUAAAGAGAACAGCAGAUCCAUAUUGGAAUACAACCAUAUAUCGAGAGCUGAUAUAAUCCUUGACUCCAAGUGCCUAAAUCAUAGAUGCACAUUAUUACAAUGACCAUUAAAAUUAAUCAUAAUGAAAGGCAUGAUUAUGAUUUUGGAAGAUUUUUCUAUAUUAUACAAUCAGGAUAUAAUCUCAGGUUAAAUCCAUUUACAACAUCUUUAGCAGACCCUGUACAUACCACUACAACACUAGUCAUAAAUACUGGAUGUAAGAUAGACUAGGAAAACGAAAACAUCAGUCUUAUUCAAUGUAAUUUUAAUCACCAAAUAACAAGCAUGUGAUUAAAAUAAAACUUAAAGGGAUGACAUGAGCUGAGUUACAGACUGAUCCAAUAUUCCAAUUCACCAUCUGAUCAGCCAAAAUUCAUCAAAACAACACAACAAUAAAACAAAGCUUAUUUUGUAUAAAAUAGGAAAAAAAGAAAAGCUUCUACGCUCCCAUAAUUUCUUAAAAUCAGAAAAAAAAAUCAAAACAAUAAAGCCAUCAGCCAUGUGCUACAAGAACACAACAAAAUGACCUCAUAACUUUUAUAGAUAAAAAGCUAAAUACCCAAAAGCAAGAAACCUUAAUAGAUACUACAGACAAAGUAGUUAACCAAUCAGAAGGAUUGAAUUCUCUCUUGAUCAUCUUACUGUAAUUUCCGAAGGAAAACUGCAAUAUCUGAGGGCAAUAUAAUUUGUUGAACGAGAUGUAGGAGGAACAACAUUGCACAAAUUCUCGGCUUGCAUCCUCUUCAAAUCAAUACUGCCAAAACCAUGAAUCUGGUACAGAGGAAGUAUGCUUUAACAGGAAUUUUUCCAAUCUCCUCGUCUUCCUUAGGUCCCAGAACGUAAUUGAGAACCGAAUCAUGAGGCACAUAUUCAAUAUCAUUGCUAUAAACCGAAACUCGAGAUGGGAUUGCGGAAAAUGACCUGAAACAGAAGGUAUGAACCCCGCGGCUAAAAGGGUAUGAGAAGUGGCGAGCGUUUGGUACACAUGAAAGGAAAUUAGGCAUAGGCAAAAAGGAAUUAAUGGUUUUUGUGGUUGCUAUGUGAUUGAGGAGAAGAGAAGCAGUAGCACGCCAUCUACCCAUUCACCUAGGAAAGGAAGCAGCUUAUCUAGAUAGGAUCUUCUUCGAAAUCAAGCCAACUCUCAAGGAAAGCCAGAGCUUUCUUCUGCGAUGGAUUCAUGCCUUUCCCUCGUUUGGCAUCUCGCAGUCCCGCCAGCCACAACUGCGUCUUCACGCUUCUAAUUUAGAAGGCGUAAUACUUUGUCCAAG
Molecule: unclassified non-coding RNA, 2745 nt
Filed under: Hevea brasiliensis (rubber tree)
Lineage: Eukaryota; Viridiplantae; Streptophyta; Magnoliopsida; Malpighiales; Euphorbiaceae
Source: RNAcentral